This is a long non-coding RNA of Camelus dromedarius (Arabian camel), 2885 nucleotides long. RefSeq lists it as uncharacterized. NCBI's taxonomy places the organism in Eukaryota, Metazoa, Chordata, Mammalia, Artiodactyla, Camelidae. The transcript is spliced from 6 exons. The record is from RefSeq and is a predicted model, not a curated record.
GCCGUUCGAGGCUUUUGAUCCUUGAGAUCUUGAGUCCCCUGGUCGCGUCUUCGACUCUCUGUCUGUGUGUUUCUUAUGUUCUGAGGCACCCGUCCAAAAGCAGGAACCCUUGUUGCGCUGGAAGCCACAAGUGGCGCCCAAACAAGGACCUGAACGGAGGAAGAUUCACCGGAGUGAAACCGAAACUUGGUAAGUGUCGGAGAGCUCCGAGAGGAGAAAGAGGCCUCAAGAAUCCACUGCCGUCACUGAAAGUAAUAAUCAUACUUGGUCUCUGAGUCCUUCUCUAAGGAGGUCACAGGACUGCAACCUUACAAAAUAGCCUGAAUUACCAAGAAGACCACACCUUGAGUGUUUAUGAGACAAAGAGAUCUAACUGCUGGCCUCUAUAGAACUGGUCACCUGGAGGCAUCAUGUCGCCAUUGUAAGUCUUCUGAUGAGAAAAUGAUUCUGUUGCUUGUUAUCAAUGCUGUAUUGUUUGAGCUAUGGCUGUAAAACCACCCCACCCCAUCUCCAAGGUGGGUUCACAGUUUUGAAGGCACUAGCCUGCUAUGAGUCCCCUUUGCCAGGCAAAACAAUAAAAUUGCCUCUUUUCUUCUAAGCUCCAAGACCUUAUCUCUGAAUUAUGUGGCUCAUCAGGGACGGGGCCGAUCUUUUGGCAACAAAAUCUUGGUGCCCACGCUGAGGCAACGACCACCCUCUUUUCUAAGAGGGGCUUCAGGUUGCACCCCACUGCCAGGCCAACAAGGCUCAAACGACUGCCACUCCAGGCUGACAGGAGGGACAACAGAAUGGAGCCCAGCAGCUGCCAGAGCCUUUUUGCCCUGGGGAUCCUUUCAUCCCAUGCCCUUCCAUCCAUCAACGGACUGCAAUCACCCGAACUAUCUCCUUGGAGGAGGAAAAGAUGUUUCUGUUUCUUCUGAAAUGUCGCAUCUGAUCUGCAGGCCUAGGCUAAAUCUGCGAUACUUCAGAGGACCCCUGAAACAUCCCAAAGAGAGAUUUUAAACUAUCACAAAGAGCCUCUGCACCGGACUGGCUUAUAGAGGACUGCUCACCUUAAAACAAUGCUCAAAUGGAGAAGAAGCUACCAGACCAGGAUGAGAAGAAGAUGACAUCUGAGGGCCAGAUACAGAACCCAUGUGGGUGCCCAGCUGGAGGAUUAAGCCCCACGAUGGACAGCCAAAAGAAAAGACACCUCUACUGGGACGUCGAAAGGUCCGUAAUGCAGAUGGAAGGCUUAAAGAUACAAACAACUCAACUGACUGAUGCUGCCCACCGUGCUCACAUGGGGCCAGAUUAAACGUUUGUGUCAAGAAGCAGAAAAUCUUCUGGAGGAACAGGAAAAACCGGUUACAGCUCCCAACCUGGUUGCAGCCACUUUCUCCCUAAUUACUAUUGCAUCUUCAGAUGCGUGCAGCAAAACUUCAGCAGACUAAUGAAGAACGCUGCUCUCUCUGCGUUCCUCCUGAUAGAAAAACAAAAAAGGGGAGAUAUGGGAAAACAAGUCAACAUGAUAUCUCCUUGAGAACAAGAAAACAAGACGUUCCCUUGUGGGGGCCUGGUAUGCAGCACAGAACUAAGGUGUUUCCUGAGGGCAAGCAACGCGGGUCUCAGAACACUGAGCCACGCAUGAGCAGAGCACUGCUCCUGCACGUCCACAAUCCCGUUUGCCUAAGGGAGUCAUUAAAGUUUCUGUGACGUUCGUCAGCCCCUUCACAAAGGGACCAGAUGGAGACAUAAAGAUGAUUAAUACUGCUUUACUACGCUUUGAACACUGGGGGUCUGUAGAUUACUAUUACUGUAUUGAAUUAUUCAAAAUUAUUUCCUGCAGUACGAUGACAAUACAUACAAUGCAAACCAGCCGUUCGAGGCUCUUGCUACUUGAGAUCUUGAGUCCCCUGGUCCCAUCUUUGAUUCUCUAUCUGUCUGUGUGUUUCUUAUGUUCUGCGGCACCCGUCCAUAAACAGGAACCCUUGUUGCGCUGGACACAGCAGGAGCGAGAGAUAUUAGAGAUUUAUUACAAAGAAUUGGCUUAUGUGAUUGUGGAGGCUGGGAAGUCUGAAAUCUGUAAAGCAGGCUGAAAAUUCUCAGGCAAGAGUUGGUGUUGCAUUCUCAAUGCAGGAAUUCUUCCUCUUCAGGGAAAUCUGUUUUUCUCUUAAGGCCUUUCAAUUGACUGAAUGAGGUCCACCCACAUUAUCAAGAGUAAGCCCCUUUACUCAAAGUCAACUGAUUAUAGAAUUAAAAAAAUUUUUUCCCCAGAUUUAUCGAGAUAUAAUUGACAAAUAACAUUGUAGUAAGCUUAAGAUGUACAAUGUAAUGAUUUGAUAAACAUGUAUGUUGCAAAGUGAUUAUAUGAGAGAAUAGAAAAAAUAUAUAUUGGUCUCUAACUCUAGUUCCUGGCACAGAGCUCCUAAAACCCUUGUAAUUUCCUAAGUAAUAACAGUACUGUGUUUUAAUAGUUGGUCUUUGACUCUGGUUCCUGACAGGAUUCCUAAAUCCCUUGGAAUUUUCUGGGUGAUAUUGGUGUCUUUCGUUUUAAUGAGGUGACUCUUGGUGGGCUCUUGGAUAGGGGCUGGUCACCCAAAAAGACCAAAGCAUAAUUAGAAGUUUGGAAUUUUCAUUCCUAUCUCCUAUUCUUCAGAGAGGGGAACGGAGUUAAUAACUGAUCAGACUUAUGUGAUGAAGCCUCCAUAAAAAUCCCAAUAGUAUGGUGCUUCCAAGCUGGUGAGCACAUCCAUGUCCUGGGAGGGCAAUGCACCCCAACUCCACAGGGACAGGAACUCUUGUGCUUGGAACUCUCCCAGACCCCUUUGAUGUAUCUCUAAAUCUGGCUUUUUAUCUGUAUUCUUUAUCAUAUCCUUUAUUAUAUAAUAAACUUAUAAAGGUAA